GACGAACGCUGGCGGCGUGCUUAACACAUGCAAGUCGAACGGAAAGGCCCUGCUUUUGUGGGGUGCUCGAGUGGCGAACGGGUGAGUAACACGUGAGUAACCUGCCCUUGACUUUGGGAUAACUUCAGGAAACUGGGGCUAAUACCGGAUAGGAGCUCCUGCUGCAUGGUGGGGGUUGGAAAGUUUCGGCGGUUGGGGAUGGACUCGCGGGUUAUCAGCUUGUUGGUGGGGUAGUGGUUUACCAAGGCUUUGACGGGUAGCCGGCCUGAGAGGGUGACCGGCCACAGUGGGACUGAGAGACGGCCCAGACUCCUACGGGAGGCAGCAGUGGGGAAUAUUGCACAAUGGGCGGAAGCCUGAUGCAGCGACGCCGCGUGAGGGAUGACGGCCUUCGGGUUGUAAACCUCUUUCAGCGGGGACGAAGCGUGAGUGACGGUAGGUGAAAAAGAAGCACCGGCAAACUACGUG
Molecule: ribosomal RNA, 468 nt
Filed under: uncultured bacterium
Lineage: Bacteria
Description: partial 16S ribosomal RNA
Rfam family: Bacterial small subunit ribosomal RNA
Source: RNAcentral